RNAcentral lists this unclassified non-coding RNA (405 nucleotides) under soil metagenome. RNAcentral's name for it is "partial contains 5.8S ribosomal RNA, internal transcribed spacer 2, and large subunit ribosomal RNA". The stretch from base 1 to 121 matches the Rfam family "5.8S ribosomal RNA", at positions 35 to 154 of the family's 154-position model. The record is from RNAcentral.
GAUGAAGAAUGUAGCGAAAUGCGAUAAGUAAUGUGAAUUGCAGAAUUCAGUGAAUCAUCGAAUCUUUGAACGCACCUUGCGCCCUUUGGCCAUUCCGAAGGGCAUGCCUGUUUGAGUAUCAUGAACACCUCAACUCUUUAUGGUUUUCCAUGAUGAGCUUGGACUCUGGGGGUUUUGCUGGCUCACAGUCGGCUCCUCUAAAAUGAAUCAGCUUACCAGUGUUUGGUGGGUAUCAUGGGUGUGAUAACUAUCUACGCUUGUGGUUUUUCCACCAGGUAACCUUCAGCAGUGGAGGUUCGCUGGAGCUCAUAGAUGUCUCUCCUCAGUGAGGACAGCCCUUUGAAUGUUUGAUCUCAAAUCAGGUAGGACUACCCGCUGAACUUAAGCAUAUCAAUAAGCGGAGGA